CAAGUCGUACGAGUGUCAUACGCUUGAUGAUCGGUGCUUGCACCGAGAUUCAACAUGGGAACGAGUGGCGGACGGGUGAGUAACACGUGGGUAACCUGCCCUUAAGUGGGGGAUAACAUUUGGAAACAGAUGCUAAUACCGCAUAGAUCCAAGAACCGCAUGGUUCUUGGCUGAAAGAUGGCGUAAGCUAUCGCUUUUGGAUGGACCCGCGGCGUAUUAGCUAGUUGGUGAGGUAAUGGCUCACCAAGGCGAUGAUACGUAGCCGAACUGAGAGGUUGAUCGGCCACAUUGGGACUGAGACACGGCCCAAACUCCUACGGGAGGCAGCAGUAGGGAAUCUUCCACAAUGGACGCAAGUCUGAUGGAGCAACGCCGCGUGAGUGAAGAAGGCUUUCGGGUCGUAAAACUCUGUUGUUGGAGAAGAAUGGUCGGCAGAGUAACUGUUGUCGGCGUGACGGUAUCCAACCAGAAAGCCACGGCUAACUACGUGCCAGCAGCCGCGGUAAUACGUAGGUGGCAAGCGUUAUCCGGAUUUAUUGGGCGUAAAGCGAGCGCAGGCGGUUUUUUAAGUCUGAUGUGAAAGCCCUCGGCUUAACCGAGGAAGCGCAUCGGAAACUGGGAAACUUGAGUGCAGAAGAGGACAGUGGAACUCCAUGUGGAGUAGCGGUGAAAUGCGUAGAUAUAUGGAAGAACACCAGUGGCGAAGGCGGUGGCUGGUCUGUAACUGACGCUGAGGCUCGAAAGCAUGGGUAGCGAACAGGAUUAGAUACCCUGGUAGUCCAUGCCGUAAACGAUGAAUGCUAGGUGUUGGA
This 812-nucleotide ribosomal RNA is filed under the name Lacticaseibacillus paracasei. RNAcentral's name for it is "bacterial SSU rRNA". It matches the Rfam family "Bacterial small subunit ribosomal RNA", at positions 58 to 827 of the family's 1533-position model. The record is from RNAcentral. Lineage: Bacteria; Bacillati; Bacillota; Bacilli; Lactobacillales; Lactobacillaceae.